This 287-nucleotide unclassified non-coding RNA is filed under the name Hevea brasiliensis (rubber tree). The record is from RNAcentral. Lineage: Eukaryota; Viridiplantae; Streptophyta; Magnoliopsida; Malpighiales; Euphorbiaceae.
AAUGGCCACUCAAAAGUUACUAGAUAUUCAAAUGCAAAUUGGAUUGAUUCUCCGUAAGACAAACGACUUACUUCAAGAUAUUGUGUCUUGUUCAGAGGAAGUUUAAUAUCUUGGAAAAGUAAAAAGAAAAAUGUAGUUGCCAGGUUAAGUGCAGAAGCUAGAACUUAUGAGCUCAUCUAGUUAAAACAACUACUUCAAGUAUUAAAGUGUGGGAAAGUUAAGCAAAUGAAACUAAUAUGUGACAAUUAAGUUGCCUUUCAUACUGCCUCAAAUCUAGUUUUUCAUGA